Piliocolobus tephrosceles (Ugandan red Colobus) is the source of this 4233-nucleotide long non-coding RNA. NCBI's taxonomy places the organism in Eukaryota, Metazoa, Chordata, Mammalia, Primates, Cercopithecidae. The record is from Ensembl.
AAAAAAAAAAAAAAAAAAAAAAAAGUAUAGAGCAAACGCAAAAUAAGUAAUAAAAUAUAAAUUAAAUUAAAUUAGCCUAAUAGGUAUUUAAUUAUAGGUACAAUAGACACAUAUAUUAUAUAUAUACAUAUAUAUACUUGUAUCAAUGUGUUUAUAUGUAUGUAAUAACACAAAUUCAUAGAUCCAUAAAUAUGCUUGUACAAGUAUUUACGUAUAUAUAAUGGCAACUAUAGAACAUAGUUAUGUAAAACCUUAUAAAGAAACAAAUAGGGUAAAAAUCAAUAGUGUAGCUAUAACCAAUGAUGGAAUAAAUGAAAAAGUGAUUUCAUAUUUUCAAAGCUCGAAAACUAAAAAUAGUAUUUGUUUCUACGUAAAUAAUAAAAGGAAUAAAAAAAGAGUAUCCAUAUUCGUAAAAAGAAAUAAAAAUAUUAAACACAAUAUUUUUAAACGAUGUAAUAACCGAUUAAAAUCUGUUAAGAUUUAUAAAAUAAAUAAUAGCAAUAAAUAUAAAAAAAUAAAUGGUUAUGUAAAUAAUGUUAAUAAUAAAAUUUUAAGCGUAAAUAAGAACUUAAAACAAAAAUCACAUUUGGAAACACAUCUUUUGUACAUUAAUAAUGAUAAAUAUUAUGUAUUUCACGACUUUUAUAAGUUAAAUAAAAAGUUAAACGAUUUUAAAAGUAAAAAAAUAAGUGAAUCGUUGAAUAAAAAUAAUAAUAAUAAAAAUAUACUGAAUAUAUUAAAACAAUUACGAAAAAAAAAAAAAAAAAAAUUAUUGAGCUUAAAACGAUUAAUAUAUGAUAAAAAAACUUUAUUAAUAUCUCGUUUUUUUAAAUUGAAUAAGCAUCAUAUGGAUAAUCAUUGCAUAUAUAAUGUAAAAAAUAAAAAAAAAAUAAAAAAAAAAAAAUUAUUAUUUCAUUGUGAAGAUAAAAAUAAAACAGUUUAUGAUACAUUAAAACUGGGGUAUGAGCAAAUAAAUGACAGUUGUAUUAUAGAAAUUUAUAAUAAUUACAUAGAUAGUAGUAAUAGUAUCCUGUUUAACGAUAGCUAUAUUGACAUUAAUCAAAAAAACUCAGUGAACUCGAUAAAACAUAAGUUAAAUAUUAUAAGUUUGAGAGAAGAGAAAAAAAAAAACUUGAUUAGUGAAAAUGUAAGAUGCUUAAAUAUUCCAAUACAAAAAGAAGUGUCAAAUAAAUUUAAAGAAUUGCUAAUAGAACAUUUCAAACACUAUAAAAUAAAAAAAAAAAAAAAAAAUGAUCGAUGUGGUGAUUUAUUUUAUUAUCACAAUCCAAUAUUUAUAUUAUUUCAAAGUAACAUUUUUUUUACAAAUAUAAAAAAAUGUUUUUUUUUUGAAAAUAGUAAAAGUAAGAUAUUUAUUAAAAGAUUUAAAAAAAAAGUUUUUAAAAAUUAUUUAAAUAAACAACAGUUUAUAAGAAAACAUAUAAAAAAUUGUGAUAAAAACAAAGAAAAGGAAAAAAAAAAAAAAUAUAUAUAUAUUGAAAAUAACGAAUAUUGCCAAUAUAGCAAAUAUAAAAGUGCAAUAAAUUUAUUAAAAAAUUUUGAAUUCUUAAUAUGUAAAAAUCCAGAGCACUUAUCAGAGUUUUUUUUAAAUUUUAAUUGUAGUCAUGUAAAUAAAUAUAAUAAAAAAAAAAUUAAUUUUUAUUAUAUUAUUUUAUUUAAAAAGUUAUAUUAUUUUAUUACUACAUAUUUUUGCUAUAAUGAAAAGAAUAUUACAGGAACAACAGCAAAAAUGAUAUGCACAAAUAAUAACUGUUUUAGUAAUUUUUAUUUAUCUUUUCAAGAAGGUAGUUUGGUUAACCCAAACUAUAUUAUAAAUAAUAAAGUAGACGAUAAUAGUUACAUUGAGCUACUUAAAAAAAAAAAUGGUACAAUUUUUGAGCAUAAUAAUACAGAAAAAAACUUAAAAAAUAUUAUUAAAUAUAUUAUAAUCAAUAUAAUAAUAAAUCGUAUAAUAAAUAAUAAUAAUAAAAUAGUACAAGAUGAUAUAUAUAGUACUAAGAGUGAAAAUGAUGAUUACAAUGCUGCAUGUAAUGUAGUAAAGAAUAUUGACGUUGUUCCGAAACAAAUAUGUUCUGUUAGUGCUAACGACGUAAUAAGUAAUAAUAAUUACAAUGUUCAUAAUAGUAGUUAUAAUGAUAAAGUAAUAAGAAGUUAUGAUAGUAUUAUAAACGUUUUUUGUAGUAGUUAUAGUUGUAUUAACAAUUCUACUGGAUAUAGUUGCAGUAAUGGUGUUAGUGAUAGUAAUGGUACUAAUGGUAGUUACGAUACUAAUGAUAGUUACGAUACUAAUGGUAGUUACGAUACUAAUGGCAAUAGUGAUAAUAAUAAUAAUAAUAAUGAUAAUUAUAGUAAUAGUAAUAGUGGUAGUAAUAGUGGUAAUGAUAACAACAAUAACAGUAACAAUAACAACAAUAACGAUAACAAUAAUAACAACAAUAAUAAUAACAACAAUAAUAAUAAUAACGAUAAUAACGAUAAUAAUAAAGACAAUAAUAACGAUAAUAACAACAAUAAUAAUAAGGAUAAUAAUAAGGAUAAUAAUAAGGAUAAUAAUAAGGAUAAUAAUAAGGAUAAUAAUAAGGAGAAUAACAAGGAUGAUAAUAAGGAAGAUAAUAAGGAGGAUAAUAAGGAGGAGGAUAACAGUGAGACAAAAACAAAAGAGAAUUACGUAUAUACCCAAAAAGAUAACGAAAAUAUGAUUAACCAUGAAAAGGAACAUGAAAUUUAUUAUAAAUUAAUAAAAGACAUAGAAUGUAUUGAAAAAAAUGAAAAUAUGAAUAAUGAUUUUUUAAACAAUAAGAAAACUGAAGUUACUAUUGAUAUUUUGUCAGAAAAUGUUAACAAAAUGCCAUCCUUAGAUUUAGAAAAAAAAAAUCACUUCUCUUUUGAUAAUUUAUUAGUACAAAAAGAUAAUGAUAUGAUUACAAUACAAAAAGAAGAAUAUGUUGAAAACAUUGAUUAUAUUCAAAAUACCAACUAUAGUAAUAAUAAUAAUAUUGAAAAUGCUAUUAAUACGUCUGAUCUUAGCCAAGAAACAAUGAAUGCAGGCGCAGCAUUAUCAAGUUGUGUACAACCUUUAAACUUACCACUUCUACCAGAAAUGAGCCAUCCUAAUACAUUUAUUUCGCAUUCACCACGUUCCAAUAAUGCAGUUGAUUUAUGUAAUAACAUUAGCAAUACUAGUACUACCACUGGUAGUGGUAGUAACAAUAGUGAUAGUACAUAUAAAAGUGCUAAUAAUCAAAUAAACGAUCCAGAUUUUGAAGAAGCAUGUGGCAUUAGACUUAUGAACACACCAGAAAAUUUGAUAUUUCCUCAAUCUCCUCCAACUAGCUCAUUACAUGCAUCUACUUUACAUUUGACAGAUGUAAAUGAAUUGGUCUUAUCUCCGAAUCAACAAAUGUAUUCUAACAGUCCUAUGAAAUCACCAAGUAUGACUACACCGCUUUCUACACCAGCAUCACCUGUUUUUGAUUCCAAUUACAACGAAGAACACUUGGAAAAAGUUAGUUCGAAUUAUUUAAUUUCUUCGCCAUAUAGGAAUGAUAUAUUUUCUGAAUUUGAUAUGCUUGGCUCCUUUUUUGAAUCAUUGGAUGAAUUAGAAAAUAAAAGUGAUGAUAGUGAUAGUAGUAGUAAUAAUGAAAAUGAAAAGAUUAGUCCCAAUUUUUCGUUAGAUGCACGUGCUGGCAGUAGUGGUAGUAGUAGUAACAAUAACAAAAAUAAAAAAAAAAACAAAAAAAAAUUAAAUAAAAAUGUGCAAAGAGAUGAAAUUAUAUAUAAUUUUAAAAAAGAAAAUUGUAAAAAAGUAUUCCAUGCAUGGAGUAAUAAAGGAAAACAUGAACUAAAUUAUGAUAAUAAAAAAUUCUCAUCAGUUAUGGAAUGGAUAAAAUAUAUUGAAAAUAUAAUGGCAACUGAAGAAAUUAUAAAUAACACCAAAGAAAAAGGGGAUGAUGAUACAUCGAGACAAUUUUGUAUGGGAGGCCAAAAUGAACAACAUCAUUUUUAUAAUAGUGACAAUAUAUAUAAUAUGGAUAACGCUUUGUUUAAUGAAGGACAAUAUAUGACAAAUGAGUUGGAGGACAAUGAAAAAAAUGAUAUGGUAUUGAACGCGGAACAACAUAGUAGUAAUAAUAGUGAUCAUUGUCAACAGGAUGAUGGUCAUAACACUUGUAAUAAUUUAAAGAUAACAGAAAAUAUACAAUAUGUUGUUAAUGA